Molecule: unclassified non-coding RNA, 340 nt
Organism: Cercocebus atys (sooty mangabey)
Lineage: Eukaryota; Metazoa; Chordata; Mammalia; Primates; Cercopithecidae
Gene: 7SK
Rfam family: 7SK RNA
About the family: 7SK was discovered as an abundant small nuclear RNA in the mid-70s but a possible function has only recently been suggested. Two independent studies have found that 7SK RNA binds the CDK9/cyclin T complex (known as elongation factor P-TEFb). P-TEFb activates transcription by phosphorylating the C-terminal domain of RNA polymerase II.
Source: Ensembl
GGAUGUGAGGGUGAUCUGGCUGUGACAUCUGUCACCCCGUUGAUCACCAGGGUUGAUUUGGCUGAUCUGGCUGGCUAGGCGGGUGACCCCUUCCUCCCUCACCACUCCAUGUGCGUCCUCCUGAGCUGCAUGCUUGGUCGAAGAGGAUGACCAUCCCCGAUAGAGGGUGACCGGUCUUUCAUCAAGGGUAUAUGAGUAGCUGUGGUCCCCUGCUAGAACCUCCAAAGAAGCUCUCAAGAACAAUAACCAUUAAUACGUAUAGAUACGUACCCUUCUCAGUUAAUACAGUGUCCUUAGGAUGAACUGCUGCUGGAUAAUUAAAGCCAUAGAGGUUAUGUUU